RNAcentral lists this ribosomal RNA (164 nucleotides) under Layia glandulosa. RNAcentral's name for it is "5.8S ribosomal RNA". It matches the Rfam family "5.8S ribosomal RNA". From Rfam's summary of the family: 5.8S ribosomal RNA (5.8S rRNA) is a component of the large subunit of the eukaryotic ribosome. Lineage: Eukaryota; Viridiplantae; Streptophyta; Magnoliopsida; Asterales; Asteraceae. The record is from RNAcentral.
UAAAUGACUCUCGGCAACGGAUAUCUCGGCUCAYGCAUCGAUGAAGAACGUAGCAAAAUGCGAUACUUGGUGUGAAUUGCAGAAUCCCGUGAACCAUCGAGUUUUUGAACGCAAGUUGCGCCCGAAGCCUUCUGGUUGAGGGCACGUCUGCCUGGGCGUCACGC